GAUGAACGCUGGCGGCGUGCCUAAUACAUGCAAGUCGAGCGAACAGACGAGAAUCUUUCUCCUCUCUCAUUUUCGGCGGACGGGUGUGUAUCACGUGUAUAUCCCCUCUCUAUGACUCUGAUAACUUCUGGAAACCCCAGCUAUUACCGCGUAUUAUAUUUAACUUCAUGUUUCACUAUUGUAAGACGCUUUUCUUCUCACUUUUAUAUUUAUCCGCGCCGUAUUAGCUAGUUUGUAAGGUAACGGCUUACCAAGGCAACGAUUCGUAGCCGACCUGAGAGGGUGAUCGGCCACACUGGAACUGAGACACGGCCCAGACUCCUACGGGAGGCAGCAGUAGGGAAUCUUCCGCAAUGGGCGAAAGUCUGACGGAGCAAUGCCGCGUGAGUGAAGAAGGUUUUCGGAUCGUAAAACUCUGUUAUAAGGGAAGAACAAAUAUGUAAGUAACUAAGCACGUCUUGACGGUACCUAAUCAGAAAGCCACGGCUAACUACGUG
RNAcentral lists this ribosomal RNA (497 nucleotides) under uncultured bacterium. RNAcentral describes it as "partial 16S ribosomal RNA". It matches the Rfam family "Bacterial small subunit ribosomal RNA", at positions 28 to 507 of the family's 1533-position model. The record is from RNAcentral.